This 631-nucleotide non-coding RNA is filed under the name Streptomyces sp. NRRL S-1521. Its description in RNAcentral is "Bacterial large subunit ribosomal RNA". It matches the Rfam family "Bacterial large subunit ribosomal RNA", at positions 1 to 585 of the family's 2925-position model. Lineage: Bacteria; Bacillati; Actinomycetota; Actinomycetes; Kitasatosporales; Streptomycetaceae. The record is from Rfam by way of RNAcentral.
GGCCAAGUUUUUAAGGGCGCACGGUGGAUGCCUUGGCACCAGGAACCGAUGAAGGACGUGGGAGGCCACGAUAGUCCCCGGGGAGUCGUCAACCAGGCUUUGAUCCGGGGGUUUCCGAAUGGGGAAACCCGGCAGUCGUCAUGGGCUGUCACCCGCUGCUGAACACAUAGGCAGUGUGGAGGGAACGCGGGGAAGUGAAACAUCUCAGUACCCGCAGGAAGAGAAAACAACCGUGAUUCCGGGAGUAGUGGCGAGCGAAACCGGAUGAGGCCAAACCGUAUACGUGUGAGACCCGGCAGGGGUUGCGUGUGCGGGGUUGUGGGAUCUCUCUUUCACAGUCUGCCGGCUGUGAGACGAGUCAGAAACCGUUGAUGUAGGCGAAGGACAUGCGAAAGGUCCGGCGUAGAGGGUAAGACCCCCGUAGUCGAAACAUCAGCGGCUCGUUUGAGAGACACCCAAGUAGCACGGGGCCCGAGAAAUCCCGUGUGAAUCUGGCGGGACCACCCGUUAAGCCUAAAUAUUCCCUGGUGACCGAUAGCGGAUAGUACCGUGAGGGAAUGGUGAAAAGUACCGCGGGAGCGGAGUGAAAUAGUACCUGAAACCGUGUGCCUACAAGCCGUGGGAGCGUCGG